This is a long non-coding RNA of Vicia villosa (hairy vetch), 2319 nucleotides long. RefSeq lists it as uncharacterized. Lineage: Eukaryota; Viridiplantae; Streptophyta; Magnoliopsida; Fabales; Fabaceae. The transcript is spliced from 7 exons. The record is from RefSeq and is a predicted model, not a curated record.
AAAAUUCAUAUACUUCCUCAAAAUUCACUUUGAAAAUGAGACAAGGCUUCCUAGAUUUCUUAACCAUGUCAAUCACUUCAUUCAAAGUCACCAUACCAUCCACCAACAUUCUACCUAAUAGAAAAACAUGUUGAUUUGGGGAAUCAAGCUUUUACAUGACCUCCCUUAGUUUAUAAGCUAACACUUUAGCUAAUAGCUUGUAUAAAGAACCAACUAAAUAAAUAAGCCUGAAAUCAUUUAACUCAACAUGAACAUUUUAGCUACUAGCUUGUUGCGAAUUCUCCCAUUCUUUUUUUCUUAGUGAGCGCAUCCUUCAUGAACUUUGAGUAGUUUGGCAUAUGUUGGAUGACUUCAAUCAGGGGGAUAUUGAUGUGAAGUUAUUUCAGAAUCUCCAUAAACUUGCCAAAUUGUUGCUCCUCUUUAGCCUUCCUAAUCCUUUGGGGAAAUGGAGGUGGAGGUCUCUCUUGAACAAUUUUUUUCAUUCUGUCAACUUCAAGCAUGACUUCUGGAUGUCUUUCUGAAUUAGAAGUCAUGCCAGCAGUUAGGGGUGGACAUUCGGGAACCAUCCGAAGAAAACCGACCAAACCGAGUGGUUCGAAAUUGUUGCGGUCGAUUUCAAUCGGUUUUGCAGACUGGGCGGAUGAAAAAAUUGGGCUUGAUUGGAUAUACAUGGUCGGGUUCAGAUGGUUUUGUUGGGUCCGUCGGAAUCCGGACCCGCCCGAUCUAUUAUUAUUAGUUUAUAACUUGCAUUUGUAACCCUAAUCUAUAAAAUCUCACGCCUCAACUCAACUCUUCCCCGCCGCCCCCUCUUUCACAACCUUCACUCUCUCACCACCCAUAAACCAUCGUGAUGUUUCCUUCAGUCCUUCACUACAACCAUCAACACCGUCACUACUGAAACCAUAGAGAAUGAAGGUGGAUCUAUUGAUGUAGCCUUCAUGCCUUAUCACUUCAUGUAGCCUUCAAGCAUUGCUUUACUAUCACUUGAUGAGUUGAUUUGAUGGAACCAAAGAUUAUUGUGUGCGCAAAUCCAGUUUUUAGAGGAGAUCUAAUGUUUUGGAGGAUAUUCAUAUUCAAAUCAAUUCAAGGACAUCAAAGAGAAACAAAACAAGGAUCCUCUUAACUAGAGAAGGAUGUUUCCGUCGUUGUGCUAUGCGCCUCUGAUUGAGAUUUCUUGACUGUGUUUUUCAAUAUUGGAGUGAUUUGGAAGAGUGAGCAAAUAGACAACGAUGGAGUUUGGCAUGAUAGCAACCCCCUGAGACGAAAGAGAGGAUGCUAAGAGGCAAAGACGUUUGGUUAUAGCUCUUGCAAAUGGAGGGGUCAGUGUGUUUAUCAAUGUGAUUAAUUUAUAUUUGGUUCUCCCCAAUAAUGCUGGGUUUUUUUUACAGGUUCAUUGUGAGCUUACUGUUUCAAGUAAACUUAGAUAUAGUUUCAAGCUCGCACUUGGAGGCUAAAGGACAUUGGUUUUUAUGGAGCAAGGAGCUGCAUCAAGAGAGAAAUGGAAGUAUAUAAACAACUAUUGUGAAAAUAGAAAGCAGUUUUUGACUUUAGAAAACAUACUCCAUGAUUAUGUUUUUCAGGUAGGAAGUUUGCAGUAGCUUUGUUUUUGUUCCUGUCUAGAAUGUUGUUAUCAAAUAUAUUUGAGAUAAUUUCAAAUUUAUAUUGGUUUUGAUUUUGUUUUGUAUUAUAUUUUAAUAAAUUUGUGAUUUAUGUAGGUAGAGAUUUAUUUAAUAUUUUGGAUGAUUUAGUAUCCAAGUUGAAAAUAUUCAAAUGUAAUGGAUGAACUCAAAUGACUCAAAAUAGCCCCCUUAACAAAUAUUUAGCAAAUAAUUAGUACUUUUAAAAUUCAAAUAAUUACUAGUUCUUUUUAGUAAAAAAUCAGAUAAUUUUCUAUUUUUAAAAUUAAAAUAAAAUUUAUGUUGGAUUGUAAUUGGACUAAAAAUUUGAGUGGCCCAAUUAAGCUUGUUAAAAAGAAUUUUAAAAAGUAAAAAAAAAAAAAAUUAAUUGGAGUUACAAUUUGGUCAGAAUUUUAUAUUGGCCCAUUAUCAAUGAAAUCCAAAAUAAAUCGGGCUAGUUAUCCGAACCUGGUUCAACCCGAAUCCGAAAAAAAGACUAUUGAAUUGGUCGGAAUUGGGCCCAUAAUUGUCACCCGAGGGUUAGGCCGGAUUGAGGUUUUGGGCCCGAACCCGAUCCGGCCCGAACCGAUGUCCACCCCUACCAGCAGUAUUGUUGUUAUCAUUCUCUCGAUGUUGUUCAGAAGAGGACAAUUCCUCAUUGGGCUUUCCUUCAGCUUCAGAACUCAGAACUGUCUAGUGCAGG